ACCGGUGCUUGCACUGGUCAAUCUAGUGGCGAACGGGUGAGUAACACGUGGGUAACCUGCCCAUCAGAGGGGGAUAACAUCCGGAAACGGAUGCUAAAACCGCAUAGGUCUUCGAGCCGCAUGGCUUGAAGAGGAAAAGAGGUGCAAGCUUCUGCUGAUGGAUGGACCCGCGGUGCAUUAGCUAGUUGGUGAGGUAACGGCUCACCAAGGCAGUGAUGCAUAGCCGACCUGAGAGGGUGAUCGGCCACAUUGGGACUGAGACACGGCCCAAACUCCUACGGGAGGCAGCAGUAGGGAAUCUUCCGCAAUGGACGCAAGUCUGACGGAGCAACGCCGCGUGAGUGAAGAAGGUUUUCGGAUCGUAAAACUCUGUUGUUAGAGAAGAACAAGUGCUAGAGUAACUGUUAGCGCCUUGACGGUAUCCAACCAGAAAGCCACGGCUAACUACGUGCCAGCAGCCGCGGUAAUACGUAGGUGGCAAGCGUUGUCCGGAUUUAUUGGGCGUAAAGCGAGCGCAGGCGGUUCCUUAAGUCUGAUGUGAAAGCCCCCGGCUCAACCGGGGAGGGUCAUUGGAAACUGGGGAACUUGAGUGCAGAAGAGGAGAGUGGAAUUCCAUGUGUAGCGGUGAAAUGCGUAGAUAUAUGGAGGAACACCAGUGGCGAAGGCGACUCUCUGGUCUGUAACUGACGCUGAGGCUCGAAAGCGUGGGUAGCAAACAGG
This 720-nucleotide ribosomal RNA is filed under the name uncultured Bacilli bacterium. Its description in RNAcentral is "bacterial SSU rRNA". It matches the Rfam family "Bacterial small subunit ribosomal RNA", at positions 72 to 776 of the family's 1533-position model. Lineage: Bacteria; Bacillati; Bacillota; Bacilli. The record is from RNAcentral.